This 483-nucleotide ribosomal RNA is filed under the name uncultured bacterium. RNAcentral's name for it is "partial 16S ribosomal RNA". It matches the Rfam family "Bacterial small subunit ribosomal RNA", at positions 30 to 507 of the family's 1533-position model. The record is from RNAcentral.
AUUGAACGCUGGCGGCAGGCCUAACACAUGCAAGUCGAGCGGAUGAAGGGAGCUUGCUCCUGGAUUCAGCGGCGGACGGGUGAGUAAUGCCUAGGAAUCUGCCUGGUAGUGGGGGAUAACGUCCGGAAACGGGCGCUAAUACCGCAUACGUCCUGAGGGAGAAAGUGGGGGUCUUCGGACCUCACUCUAUCAGGUGAGCCUAGGUCGGGUUAGCUAGUUGGUGGGGUAAAGGCCUACCAAGGCGACGAUCCGUAACUGGUCUGAGAGGAUGAUCAGUCACACUGGAACUGAGACACGGUCCAGACUCCUACGGGAGGCAGCAGUGGGGAAUAUUGGACAAUGGGCGAAAGCCUGAUCCAGCCAUGCCGCGUGUGUGAAGAAGGUCUUCGGAUUGUAAAGCACUUUAAGUUGGGAGGAAGGGCAGUAAGUUAAUACCUUGCUGUUUUGACGUUACCAACAGAAUAAGCACCGGCUAACUUCGUG